Molecule: small RNA, 571 nt
Filed under: Pongo abelii (Sumatran orangutan)
Lineage: Eukaryota; Metazoa; Chordata; Mammalia; Primates; Hominidae
Description: retained intron
Source: RNAcentral
UACCACUGCAUACAGCUGCUUCUCCAGCCUCAGUAAACUCAGACACAGGCUGGCAUUGCCAGGUGGGAAAUUAGGAAGAGGUAGAAUGAUCUAGAGAUUUUUGCAAAGGCUUCAGACUCCAGGAAAGCUGAGAUCCAAGAAUGGUUUUACAGCUUCCCAGCUGUGUGAACCAGGGUGAACAAUAAGGGUAACUGCAAAUAUUUCUUCAGCAUUAACUCUGGGCCACACAUAUAUGCAAUAUUUGGCAACACCAUUAUGACAUCACAACCUGUUCCCAAUGAGACCAUCAUAGUGCUCCCAUCAAAUGUCAUCAACUUCUCCCAAGCAGAGAAACCCGAACCCACCAACCAGGGGCAGGAUAGCCUGAAGAAACAUCUACACGCAGAAAUCAAAGUUAUUGGGGUAAAUCUAAUUCAGAAUGUGUUGGAGAGGUGUUGGGGGAAGUGCCAAGAGAUGAUGUAUGUCUUGGGACUGGACAUCUGUCGUGAGUGUGGAGACCCUAAAGUUUUGCCAGAGGGACUUUAGGGUAGAAGCCACUUGGAGAAAACUGUCCCAGAACUUUUCCACAAGA